ACCGGCUAAUUCCGUGCCAGCAGCCGCGGUAAUACGGAAGGUCCGGGCGUUAUCCGGAUUUAUUGGGUUUAAAGGGAGCGUAGGCAGUUUUUUAAGCGUGCUGUGAAAUGUACCGGCUCAACCGGUGAUGUGCAGCGCGAACUGGGAAUCUUGAGUACGCAGUAAGCAGGCGGAAUUCGUGGUGUAGCGGUGAAAUGCUUAGAUAUCACGAAGAACUCCGAUUGCGUAGGCAGCUUGCUGUAGCGUAACUGACGCUGAAGCUCGAAAGUGCGGGUAUCGAACAGGAUUAGAUACCCUGGUAGUCCGCACGGUAAACGAUGGAUGCCCGCUGUCGGCCUUUUUUGGUCGGUGGCCAAGCGAAAGCGUUAAGCAUCCCACCUGGGGAGUACGCCGGCAACGGUGAAACUCAAAGGAAUUGACGGGGGCCCGCACAAGCGGAGGAACAUGUGGUUUAAUUCGAUGAUACGCGAGGAACCUUACCCGGGCUUGAACUGCCAUUGACUUGAAUAGAGAUAUUCAUUCCCUUCGGGGCAUUGGUGGAGGUGCUGCAUGGUUGUCGUCAGCUCGUGCCGUGAGGUGUCGGCUUAAGUGCCAUAACGAGCGCAACCCCUUUUUUCAGUUGCCAUCGGUUAAAGCCGGGCACUCUGUGAAUACUGCCGCCGUAAGGUGUGAGGAAGGUGGGGAUGACGUCAAAUCAGCACGGCCCUUACGUCCGGGGCUACACACGUGUUACAAUGGCGCGUACAGCGAGUCGGCCGUAUGUAAAUGCGGUCCAAUCCUUAAAACGCGCCUCAGUUCGGACUGGGGUCUGCAACCCGACCCCACGAAGCUGGAUUCGCUAGUAAUCGCGCAUCAGCCAUGGCGCGGUGAAUACGUUCCCGGGCCUUAUACACACCGCCCG
This 901-nucleotide ribosomal RNA is filed under the name uncultured Prevotella sp. Its description in RNAcentral is "bacterial SSU rRNA". It matches the Rfam family "Bacterial small subunit ribosomal RNA", at positions 492 to 1396 of the family's 1533-position model. Lineage: Bacteria; Pseudomonadati; Bacteroidota; Bacteroidia; Bacteroidales; Prevotellaceae. The record is from RNAcentral.